RNAcentral lists this ribosomal RNA (465 nucleotides) under uncultured bacterium. RNAcentral's name for it is "partial 16S ribosomal RNA". It matches the Rfam family "Bacterial small subunit ribosomal RNA", at positions 28 to 507 of the family's 1533-position model. The record is from RNAcentral.
GACGAACGCUGGCGGCGUGCUUAACACAUGCAAGUCGAACGGAAAGGCCCCUUUGGGGGUACUCGAGUGGCGAACGGGUGAGUAACACGUGAGUAACCUGCCCUUGACUUCGGGAUAACUUCAGGAAACUGGGGCUAAUACCGGAUAGGAAUCCUUGCUGCAUGGUGGGGGUUGGAAAGCUUCGGCGGUUUUGGAUGGACUCGCGGCUUAUCAGCUUGUUGGCGGGGUAGUGGCUUACCAAGGCUUUGACGGGUAGCCGGCCUGAGAGGGCGACCGGCCACAUUGGGACUGAGAUACGGCCCAGACUCCUACGGGAGGCAGCAGUGGGGAAUAUUGCACAAUGGGCGGAAGCCUGAUGCAGCAACGCCGCGUGCGGGAUGACGGCCUUCGGGUUGUAAACCGCUUUCAGCAGGGGCGAAGCUUGUGGUGACGGUACCUGCAGAAGAAGCACCGGCUAACUACGUG